UACGUAGGGGGCAAGCGUUGUCCGGAAUCAUUGGGCGUAAAGAGCGUGUAGGCGGUUCGGUAAGUCGGCUGUGAAAGUCCAGGGCUCAACCCUGGGAUGCCGGUCGAUACUGCCGGACUAGAGCUCGGAAGAGGCGAGUGGAAUUCCCGGUGUAGCGGUGAAAUGCGCAGAUAUCGGGAGGAACACCUAUGGCGAAGGCAGCUCGCUGGGACGUUACUGACGCUGAGACGCGAAAGCGUGGGGAGCAAACAGG
RNAcentral lists this ribosomal RNA (253 nucleotides) under uncultured bacterium. RNAcentral's name for it is "partial 16S ribosomal RNA". It matches the Rfam family "Bacterial small subunit ribosomal RNA", at positions 524 to 776 of the family's 1533-position model. The record is from RNAcentral.